AUUUUGGACAAUGGGCGAAAGCCUGAUCCAGCAAUGCCGCGUGUGUGAAGAAGGCCUUCGGGUUGUAAAGCACUUUUGUCCGGAAAGAAAACUUCUGUCCUAAUACGGCGGGAGGAUGACGGUACCGGAAGAAUAAGCACCGGCUAACUACGUGCCAGCAGCCGCGGUAAUACGUAGGGUGCAAGCGUUAAUCGGAAUUACUGGGCGUAAAGCGUGCGCAGGCGGUUCGUUAAGACAGAUGUGAAAUCCCCGGGCUUAACCUGGGAACUGCAUUUGUGACUGGCGGGCUAGAGUAUGGCAGAGGGGGGUAGAAUUCCACGUGUAGCAGUGAAAUGCGUAGAGAUGUGGAGGAAUACCGAUGGCGAAGGCAGCCCCCUGGGCCAAUACUGACGCUCAUGCACGAAAGCGUGGGGAGCAAACAGGAUUAGAUACCCUGGUAGUCCACGCCCUAAACGAUGUC
RNAcentral lists this ribosomal RNA (460 nucleotides) under Paraburkholderia phytofirmans. RNAcentral describes it as "bacterial SSU rRNA". It matches the Rfam family "Bacterial small subunit ribosomal RNA", at positions 361 to 813 of the family's 1533-position model. Lineage: Bacteria; Pseudomonadati; Pseudomonadota; Betaproteobacteria; Burkholderiales; Burkholderiaceae. The record is from RNAcentral.